RNAcentral lists this ribosomal RNA (253 nucleotides) under uncultured bacterium. RNAcentral describes it as "partial 16S ribosomal RNA". It matches the Rfam family "Bacterial small subunit ribosomal RNA", at positions 524 to 776 of the family's 1533-position model. RNAcentral also lists the same sequence under 2 other names. The record is from RNAcentral.
UACGUAGGUGGCAAGCGUUAUCCGGAAUUAUUGGGCGUAAAGCGCGCGCAGGCGGUUUUUUAAGUCUGAUGUGAAAGCCCCCGGCUCAACCGGGGAGGGUCAUUGGAAACUGGGAAACUUGAGUGCAGAAGAGAAGAGUGGAAUUCCACGUGUAGCGGUGAAAUGCGUAGAGAUGUGGAGGAACACCAGUGGCGAAGGCGACUCUUUGGUCUGUAACUGACGCUGAGGCGCGAAAGCGUGGGGAGCAAACAGG